UGCCAGCCGCCGCGGUAAUACGGAGGGUGCAAGCGUUAUCCGGAAUCACUGGGUUUAAAGGGUGCGUAGGCGGAUAGAUAAGUCAGAGGUGAAAGCUCCCAGCUUAACUGGGGAACUGCCUUUGAUACUGUUUAUCUUGAAUUAUGUUGAGGUUAGCGGAAUGUGACAUGUAGCGGUGAAAUGCAUAGAUAUGUCAUAGAACACCAAUUGCGAAGGCAGCUAGCUAGGCAUAUAUUGACGCUCAGGGACGAAAGCAUGGGUAGCAAACAGGAUUAGAUA
Molecule: ribosomal RNA, 279 nt
Filed under: uncultured bacterium
Lineage: Bacteria
Description: partial 16S ribosomal RNA
Rfam family: Bacterial small subunit ribosomal RNA
Source: RNAcentral